RNAcentral lists this long non-coding RNA (1134 nucleotides) under Triticum aestivum (bread wheat). Its description in RNAcentral is "long non-coding RNA (TAES_LNC015249)". Lineage: Eukaryota; Viridiplantae; Streptophyta; Magnoliopsida; Poales; Poaceae. The record is from RNAcentral.
UCCUAUAUAUUAACCAUGAAAAAGAAGGUGAAAUGUUAAACUAUCUUGUAGUAGCCCCAUUCUUGAUCUUUCUAUCAACAACCUAGCCAUGCAUCAUCUUUGUCUUCAUCAGCCUUCAUGCUACUUAGCCCACCAAAACGCCAUAUAUUUAGGUACGGAGGGAGUAGAUGACAAGCUUCUCUAUGAACUUCUCUCGACGCCUUCUUUGACAUUGCUAUAGGAUGAACCACCACCACCCUGCACAUCACGAGUACUAGAACUGACUGGCAAAGCGCCACUACAAUAGAUUAAAUAAACAGAAUGAAAAUUCGACAUGUGGAGAUGGAAGCCGCAUGCAAAACUUAAAUAUUCUAGGAUUAAUCAUUUAUUGAAGGAAUGCUCAAUCAGUUCAGUGUACUGUAAAUGACCAAUACAAAUUCUUGUUGUUCCUUAUUCCUAGCAGAGGCUCGAUUUAAUUGUAACAAGAAUGUAUAACUGGGAAGUAGGCAUGCCAGUCUGUUAGGGACUCUUAAAGUUUGUCCCCUCAAUAUUUUUCUUUUCUUUUGCCAUAUGUCACAAACCAAACAUACAUUAGGACCAUAUAUAUCAAACAUAUAGACAUGCAUGUUGUCAUCAACAUGGUUCCCUCUUAGUACGAAAAAGGAAGUCUCAUCCUAAGAUCAAAGAUUAGCCACGUUAAGGCAUCUAGAUUAUAGCAUACAGAAAAAUAGUAAAUUGUAUACUGCAAGUGGGUAAUUGAAACUUUAAGAUAGCCACACACAUAUACUGUUAUUUUGUUGUCCAGCCAAUUAAAUAAAGAGUAACUUGAAGUAACCUCACAAAAAGAAAACUUGAACUAAGAUAAUGGAAACUUAUUGUGCCAUAUAACUUACAUUCAGGUGUGAAUUUCGUUCCAGAAAGCUUCUACAGACCAACAAAAAUCCCUUCGACAACAUCCUAUAUGGGUAAUUGGGAAUAUAGUUCGUGGAGAUAAUUUUAAAAAACUUGGUUUAUGUGUAUUUUGUCACCAGUUCCUCAAGGCAAGUCUAAAGCAACCCACAUUCAGGUAUCAUGUGAUAAGUUCAACAGAAGUUUCAGACAAUGAACAACUCACGUUAGAAUUUCUAUCUAAAGUGUUUUCUAUAUUAUAAGCAC